CCGAAUGGCCCUCGGGCCGUCGACCCUUCAAACCCGUGGAAGACAGAAGAUUGUGCUUCGGCGCCCCGGCGUCGUGUUUAUGCAGUGCCCAGUCCGUCGUCUGAACUUGAAACAAAAGAUUA
Molecule: unclassified non-coding RNA, 122 nt
Filed under: uncultured Archaeorhizomyces
Lineage: Eukaryota; Fungi; Ascomycota; Archaeorhizomycetes; Archaeorhizomycetales; Archaeorhizomycetaceae
Description: sequence contains ITS1
Source: RNAcentral